UGGGGAAUCUUCGGCAAUGGACGAAAGUCUGACCGAGCAACGCCGCGUGAGUGAAGAAGGUUUUCGGAUCGUAAAACUCUGUUGUUAGAGAAGAACAAGGACGUUAGUAACUGAACGUCCCCUGACGGUAUCUAACCAGAAAGCCACGGCUAACUACGUGCCAGCAGCCGCGGUAAUACGUAGGUGGGAAGCGUUGUCCGGAUUUAUUGGGCGUAAAGCGAGCGCAGGCGGUUUCUUAAGUCUGAUGUGAAAGCCCCCGGCUCAACCGGGGAGGGUCAUUGGAAACUGGGAGACUUGAGUGCAGAAGAGGAGAGUGGAAUUCCAUGUGUAGCGGUGAAAUGCGUAGAUAUAUGGAGGAACACCAGUGGCGAAGGCGGCUCUCUGGUCUGUAACUGACGCUGAGGCUCGAAAGCGUGGGGAGCAAACAGG
This 429-nucleotide ribosomal RNA is filed under the name Chloroflexota bacterium. RNAcentral's name for it is "Chloroflexi bacterium partial 16S ribosomal RNA". It matches the Rfam family "Bacterial small subunit ribosomal RNA", at positions 355 to 776 of the family's 1533-position model. Lineage: Bacteria; Bacillati; Chloroflexota. The record is from RNAcentral.